AUAACCCUGCCUUGUACGCGGACCGCAGCACAAUAACCCUACUACAUGAUAAAUUAGGGAGCUUAGCUCCAAAGCCAGAUUGCAGACCUCCCCGCUUUGCGGGAAGAAGGGAGCGUGAAAGCUUUGGGCGGCGCCCACCUGCUGACUCUAGUAGCAGGUUAUCCUUGCUGCAAUACGGCUUGGCGGGGCAAGA
RNAcentral lists this non-coding RNA (193 nucleotides) under Oscillospiraceae bacterium. RNAcentral describes it as "6S RNA". It matches the Rfam family "6S / SsrS RNA". From Rfam's summary of the family: E. coli 6S RNA was the first non coding RNA to be sequenced, but its function was unknown until recently. It consists of 184 nucleotides that fold into an extended hairpin structure with a large single-stranded internal bulge. The record is from RNAcentral. Lineage: Bacteria; Bacillati; Bacillota; Clostridia; Eubacteriales; Oscillospiraceae.